Molecule: ribosomal RNA, 492 nt
Filed under: uncultured bacterium
Lineage: Bacteria
Description: partial 16S ribosomal RNA
Rfam family: Bacterial small subunit ribosomal RNA
Source: RNAcentral
AGUGAACGCUGGCGGUAGGCCUAACACAUGCAAGUCGAACGGCAGCACAGUAAGAGCUUGCUCUUACGGGUGGCGAGUGGCGGACGGGUGAGGAAUACAUCGGAAUCUACUUUUUCGUGGGGGAUAACGUAGGGAAACUUACGCUAAUACCGCAUACGACCUACGGGUGAAAGCAGGGGAUCUUCGGACCUUGCGCGAUUGAAUGAGCCGAUGUCGGAUUAGCUAGUUGGCGGGGUAAAGGCCCACCAAGGCGACGAUCCGUAGCUGGUCUGAGAGGAUGAUCAGCCACAAUGGGACUGGAACACGGGCCAGACCCCUACGGGGGGCAGGAGGGGGGAAUAUUGGACAAAGGGGGCAAGCCAGAUCCAGCCAUACCGGGGGGGGGAAAGAGGCCUUCGGGUUUUAAAGCCCUUUUUUUGGGAAAAAAAAGCAGCAGGUUAAUACCCCGGUUUUCUGACGGGACCCAAAGAAAAAGCACCGGCUAACUUCGUG